AAAAAAAUGGAGAAGCAAAAGGGACAUGUUCUUGUGCUCUUAUAUCCUGCACAAGGUCAUAUUAAUACGCUCCUUCAGAUUGCAAAUGCUUGGCCUCCAUAGAGCUGAAGGCUAGUUUUGCUACCACCCGUUACACCGUCAACUCCAUCAACGCACAUGGAAUUGAUGUUCUGCCCAUUUCUGAUGGCGUUGACGAAGGUGGCUUCAAACAAGCUCCGAGUCUUGAAGCUACUUGGAAUCAUUCAGAAUAAUAGGCUCCAAGACAUUAAUUGAGCUAAUCCAGAGUCCGGAGGCCUCAACUUUACCAAUUCGUUGUCUUAUAUACGACUCCUUGCUUCCUUGGGGACUUGAAGUGGCCAAAAGCUUAGGCAUUCUUUCAGUUGUGUUCUUGACAAACUCGAUUUGCAAUAGCUCGAUUUACAGGCAAAUUCAUCUAGAGCUUCUUCCUUUACCUGUAAAGCCAGAAAGCGUGCCCGUUUUGUUGUCUGGUCUUCCUCCUCUUGGCAUAUGCCUAGUUUUCUUAUGGAGCCUCCAAAUAUCUACUUGACAGCAAUCAUGGAGAUGUUUGCUUCCCUUGAUCAGAACAGUUUCGUUCUUGCCAACACACUUUAGAAGCUUGAAGAUGAGGUAGCAAAGGCGCCAUUUCUGGCCUUUGGCAGUGUGGAUGGUUGGUCCAAUUAUCCCAUCACACUACCUAGAUGAACAGAUCAAGACAGACACAGAAUAUGGAGGCAACCUAUGGAAAGCAAGGGGCAGUAUCUGCACAAAAUGGCUCGAUGGUAUGCCGCCCGAGUCGAGCGCUUACGUUUCAUUUAGAAGCAUGGCAAGAAUUUCAGCCGACUAGGUUGAACAAGUUGCUUAUGGCCUAAUAGAGACGAAACUCAGCUUUCUUUGGGUUGUCAAGGAGCACGAAAACAAGACCCUCCCAAGUGAAUUCCUAAACUGCCUAAAAACUCUUGUGGGCAUAAUAGUGCCAUGGUGCAACCGAGUAGACGUUAUAGCCAACCGGGCAGUGGCCUGCUUCUUGACACACUGUGGGUGGAACUCAACUCCGGAGGCACUUAGCCUCGGUGUGCCGGUUGUGGCAGUGCUGCAAUGGAGCGAUCAAUCGAUGAACGCAAAGUUCAUCGAGGAGGUUUGGAAGGUGGGAGUGAUAGCCAAGAAAGAUGGAGGAGAGAUUGUGAGGAAAGAAGAGGUGAAGAGGUGUGUUGGAGAGGUGAU
Non-coding RNA from Sesamum indicum (sesame), 1221 nucleotides. The record is from RefSeq and is a predicted model, not a curated record. Lineage: Eukaryota; Viridiplantae; Streptophyta; Magnoliopsida; Lamiales; Pedaliaceae.